Molecule: ribosomal RNA, 447 nt
Filed under: uncultured bacterium
Lineage: Bacteria
Description: bacterial SSU rRNA
Rfam family: Bacterial small subunit ribosomal RNA
Source: RNAcentral
AACCCAGACUCCUACGGGAGGCAGCAGUGGGGAAUAUUGCACAAUGGGGGAAACCCUGAUGCAGCGACGCCGCGUGAAGGAAGAAGUCUUUCGGUAUGUAAAGCUCUAUCAGCAGGGAAGAAGAUGACGGUACCUGACCAAGAAGCCCCGGCUAACUACGUGCCAGCAGCCGCGGUAAUACGUAGGGGGCAAGCGUUAUCCGGAUUUACUGGGUGUAAAGGGAGCGCAGACGGCAGUGCAAGUCUGGAGUGAAAGCCCGGGGCCCAACCCCGGAACUGCUCUGGAAACUGUGCGGCUAGGGUACUGGAGGGGCAGGCGGAAUUCCUAGUGUAGCGGUGAAAUGCGUAGAUAUUAGGAGGAACACCAGUGGCGAAGGCGGCCUGCUGGACAGUAACUGACGUUGAGGCUCGAAAGCGUGGGGAGCAAACAGGAUUAGAUACCCUCGUA